AGCAAGGACAAAGAUCUUUGCAAAUGAAUGUCCACAUAGCAGUGUUUUCAUAAGAGAAAAAGAAUUAUUUAAAAAGGGGAGGGGGUGUGUUUGCUUCCUCUCCCCACCUGAACCCCUGCCUUAUGUGAUAAGGCUGAAGCUCCCAAAUCUUCUAUCAAUGGAUAAAACAGUUCAAAUACUGCUUCAUGUCCAAAACCAGUACUGUUUCUAUGAAGAACUGUGGCCAUAGCUCCAUCUCCAAUCUAGGACACCACAGACCUGCUUUUUUAGGCUGAGAACACCAGGUGGCAUAUGGUGGCUGAAUCAGAGCCUUGGUAACCAUGGCAACCAGCUACCAUUCCAGCUCUGCAGCUGCCAUCUUUUAUCCAAAGCAGUGUUUUGUGCACACUGGGGGUUUUGCUUUGAAAUGGUUGUACUCUAUGCUUUUCAUUCUUCAUAGAAUUAGAGUUUCUGCUUCUGGGUAGGGAAUUCCAGGCCAGAGAUAGAUAAAUACCUCGGGUCAGUUGCAUUAAUUUUAUUUUCUGUGCAUUAUUCAUUAUGGCUGCAUAAAGCAGUCUAUGCACUGAUAUUUGAGAAGGCCACGCCUUUCACAGCAGGCUUUCUUUAGGGAGGGUAGGGAAAUGCAUGAUGGAGUGAGUGACUCCUCUCCAGACUGAGGUUAAAACAAACAAAAAUGCCCAGCUCAGUGCUUGAAUCAGUUGUAUCUACAGUGACCCUGGGAGUUGCCUAGACAUAAGGGAAUUCUGCAAGCACUAUCUGUAGACAGAAGAGAUGUGUUUGCCAACCUACUGGAAGGACUAUUUCACAUAAAUAGUAUCUUCCCACAAAAUGUGUUUUGUGUCUGUCAUGCAGUAAUAAACCAAAUAUUUAUCUAUUGGAGACUAUCCCUUUUCUUUUCUAUCAGUCAAAAGUAAUGAGAUUUUCUAAGUUAAUCAUCAGGCGUUGCCUCUGGUGAUUGGCAGUAUAUCACAGGCCAGGCUGCCAAAAGCCAUUCUCUUUGCCAUUGGGAACAGAGCUGAAAGGCAUAAUGUUAUCCAAAUGUCUUCUCUAAAUUCCUAAAAGGUUCUGUACUGAUCGGGGACUCAUUUAUAAACAUAUCUAUUACAGACCGGUGUUGUUUCUGGCUGUUUGGUAGAAGGGUCAUAUCUUAAAUGUGCAUUCUUUGGAUGAAAGAUCCUUCUUAGAAUUAAAAUUCUAUUAAAAAUGUAUUAUUUUAUGUCACAUGAAAAAUGAAGAAAUUACACUGUAUAUGCAAUGUAAUAAUAAUCAUGAAGAUAGAAGAGAGGAAAUUACCAGAGAAAAAUGAUUAAAAAGAAAUGAAAUAAAUAUUAACAGUUGUGAGAUUUUGAAUGGUUUUUUCUUUUUUCCAUAUUUAUGCAUUUUCUACUUUUUAAUCAAGGGAAUUUACUACUAUGUCAUAAAGACAUUAAAAUAUUUUAGAAUACAUUUUAAUUUCAUUAGUGAUAUUUUUUUCACUUAACAUGUUACAAAUGUAAAACUUUUAACAUUUUAUCUGAAAAAAUCUUUUGAAAUCAUGAACUACCCAAACAAUUUUCAUUCAUUUUAGUUGUUAAAUUUUAAAAUGUUUGCUCUAAUUGCAAACAAAUUUUUUCAAAAUUUAUAAAUAAAAAUAUUCAAAAAAAUUUUAUGUAGUAUUUUCCAUGAAUUAAAGUAUUGUUUAAGGGUAUGAGAGGAGGGGAAUUAAUACAUUUGAUUAUAUGUCAAAUUGGUUCCUGUUAUUUUAUGAAAAUAUUGACAAGAAGAAUGAUAUAUAUAUAUAUUUAUUGAGAAAGCUGCUUGUAGUAUGAGAAAAUUAGUCAUGGAAUUUUCACACAUUUACCGGUUUUUUUCUAUGUAUUGUAUGUUUUUCCAUCUUUUGCUUAAAAACAAGGAAUAUAAAAGGCUAUGAUGAAACCGAACCAAGAGCAGAGCUGGAUCAAGAGAGAGGGGUGCACCACACAGGCUCAUAAUUUGUCACCACUUCAUAAUCAUUUCUCCAAUCCUUAUUUAAAGGAGGCUGUGUCCCUGACUGGGGGAAAGGUGGGGGAGGGUCCUUGAGCAAAGUGACCCGAUCACUUUCUUUGAGAGCAGUGCCAUGGCAGUAACUGCAACUUGUACACCACACUCAGCACACUGGAAAUCUGUGGGGCUAUUAACAAUUAUGUCUAGAAAUGGACUUAAUAACAUGGAAAUAUAUUCAAAUUAUGUCAUUAAGUGAGGAAAAAUUAUGAUAUUGAGGUAGAUGACAGAUAGACACACCCUCCAAGUGAUUAAGAACCAUCAUUUCUGUCAUCAUUUAAUUAGUGCAAUUAUAAGUAAUUAUCUUCUGAUUUUUUUACACGUUGCAAAUAUUUUCUGCCAGAUUAUUGUUUUUUUUAACAUUUUUCUGAUAUCUUUUGUCUUGCUGUAGUGUUUUGCUUUUAUCUAAUGAAGUCUCUCAAUUAUUUAUUUAUUUAUUUAUUUAUUGGGCUGCACCUGUGGCACAUGGAUGGUCCGAGGCUUGGGGUCGAAUUAGAGCUGAAGCUGCUGGCCUACGCCACAGCCACAACAAUGUGGGAUCCAAGCCACGUUUGUGAACUACACCACAGCUCAUGGUAGUGCCGGAUCUUUUAACCCACUGAGCAGGGCCAGGGAUUGAACCCACAUCCUCAUGGAUACUUGUUGGGUUUGUUACCACUGAACCGCAACGGGAACUCCUAAGAAAUGAUUUUUAAAACAAAUGCAAGUAUUAGAGAUAUUCAACUGAUCACUUGCAUGCAUUUGUGGCUAAAGACCAUGAAGAAUAUAAAGAAGGGGCUUCAGUGGUGUUUCAAGUGCACCUCAAUUGGGUAAUGUGCUAUUAUUACUUGCCUUUUGAUAGAUAUCUGUGCCUUUCAAUAAUUAGAGGCAGACUACAACUACAGGGACCUCACAUCCAGAUGGUAUGUUUAUAACAAAAACAAGUCGCAGACCUCACUCUGCAACAUGCAUAAAUAUUUAGCAAUCAGGCCCCAAAUAAUCACAUGACCAGCUUAAUGAGCUUGAUGAAGUCUAGGCACUUGGGGUUUCUAGAUACCUAACAGCACUCUACAGGCCUUAGAGGCAGAGAGAACAAGAUUCUAGUUUGGGGGAAGGCCUGAGCUCUCAAAUCAGAGCCAGGUGGAAGAAUCCUCCCAUUACAUCUGAAGACACAAUUUAGCAUCCGGAGCAUGGAGAGAAACCCAAAGUGUAUAAACCUAGGCUGGCUAGAUUUUGUUUAUGUUGUUUAUCCUGAGGCAAGAGUACUCUGAAAACAUUUUUAGCCAAUCCACAUAAUUGAAACUCAUUUGAAACUCAUUUCACCAAUGAGAAAUCAUUUCUAACCUCAUUAUGCUAAUUAACAAAGCUCCUGGGAUAGCUAGAAAGAGGGCUGGAGCCUGUAACCCAACCUCUCUGGAAUGUGGCUUCUGAAUUGAGCAUUUCACACGUUAAGCUACCCCCCGACCCCCCCCCCCCAGCCCCCUACCCCCGUGUGUUUUCUCAGGGUUCUUCACAUGUGUAGUUACCAUUCCUCCGAAGAGAGUAAAACUAACUCGGACACAUCACACCGCACUACCUAUGCCGGCAAGGGUCCUCCUGCCCAGUAUCACUGGUGCCGACUGGGUGAGUUGGGUCCAGAAGCAAGGGGAAGUUUGAUUUCUGGAUCAAACAAUGGAGGAUGGCGAGCUGCAUGCUGGAGCCCCGGCUCUGGGGACAGGCGGUAGGCGGGGGCCGCUUCCUAUGGAUCUCUCCACAGGGAGGGGGCGGGGGCAGCGCUCCCAGGGACCGCACAGCUGCUCACGCUCGGGCUGGCAGCGGGGAGCGCAGCGUCUCUGCACACGACCCGCCGCCGCCAUCUUGAGCUGAGGUGCGCGCGCAGCCGGAGCGCACUCCCGCCAAGGUGCGGUGUCCGGCAGCCAUUUGCACAUCAGGAGCUCUGCCCGGAAGAGUUGGUGCGAGGCCUCUGCCUCCGCCCCCGUUGAGCUGCUGAAGCUAGACGAAGCACAGAGGGAAAAAAAAGGUUAGAUUUUAUUUUAUUUUUUUUACCUAGAUGCUAUCUUUAUUCCCCGGGAAUUGUUAAUGGGCUUUGCAGGUGACAAAUCCUUUCUGUCUUCUGUUUGCUCCUCGUUCCUGAGGGGCACUGAGGGGCACCGGGUCUGUCUUCUGUAACUGCUUCCUGCUGAGUUUGGGCGGCCGGUGUCACAACCCCGAGCAGAAGUUGUCCCCAGCCGCCUCUAGACCUGUUUGUCAGCAGGCCUCAGCCCUCACUGCUCAUAUCCCUGAGCCACCGCCUGCCAUUUGGGGGUUUGUGAAUUCUAACCUUCUGGGGACAAAGGACACCAGACAAUUUAAGAUGCAGGCCCAAAUAUUAGCAGGAGAAUAAUGGCCAUUAAGGGGCCCAGGAGAGGAAUACACCAAGUGAUACUCAGGAGGGCCUGUUUUACCCGCUCUGCAUUUGUUCAGCCAGGUUGGUGACCUGGUUUCUACAGCCAAGUGGCUUUUCCUGAUAGUCUAUCUGCACGUUCUCCGAUCAGGCCACUUGCAUCAUUGUAAAAGCAGUGUGACGUAUUGGCUGGUGCACAGACCCCUCUCCAGGGCAGCUAGCAGAUAUCCAGGACAACUGGGUUACCCAGGUCUAUACCAGCCAAUGAGUCAAUGGACUUUUGUCAUUGACCACCAAUGCUACGGUCGGUGGCUGUUAGCUUUUUUAUAGUGACAGUGUUAUGUAAGAGUCCCCUGUCCAAGGUCCCUAGCACCUCUGUGAGAGCAAGAUUGCUGCAAUUAGUGGUCAGCUUUUGAGGGUACACUUCAGAUCAGAGAGAGGCUCACACAAGUAAUUAAGGGGAUCCAUUGCUCCAAGUUGUCUCUUUGGCGGUUGGGGCUCGAGGGCCUCUUCGCUCAAGUGAUGUGUCUAUGGAAUGAUCCCCUGCAGCUUCAGGGUGGGUGGUUAGCAUCACUAAACGGGGUCUAUUCCACUUAGGAAUGAGCUGGUCUUGUGGCUGCCACUUUUCCAGACAUUUUGAUGUACGCAGUUUCCUGGCUGGAAGGGUUGGAGGGCCAGGUCAGUGGGUGUGAGCAGCACCCAGUCACUAUAUUCCAUGAGCGUGUUCUUGGUUUAUCGUACAAGAGGGCAUACUUAGGUUGUUCCAUUUCAAAGGGGCUAAAGUAUCCCUUUUCUCUGGUUUGGGGAAUAGGUCUACCAUGCUUAAGUUCAAAUGCUCUUAACUUUAUCUCUUGGUGCUAACACCGAGUGGAGCAGGGCAAUUAGAAGUAACAAUCCCGGGAGUUCCCGUUGUGGCGCAGUGGUUAACGAAUCCGACUAGGAACCAUGAGGUUUCGGGUUCGGUCCCUGCCCUUGCUCAGUGGGUUAAGGAUCCGGUGUUGCCGUGAGCUGUGGUGUAGGUUGCAGACGCGGCUCGGAUCCCGCGUUGCUGUGGCUCUGGCGUAGGCCGGUGGCUAUGGCUCCGAUUCGACCCCUAGCCUGGGAACCUCCAUAUGCUGCAGGGGCGGCCCAAGAAAUAGC
RNAcentral lists this long non-coding RNA (5521 nucleotides) under Sus scrofa (pig). RNAcentral's name for it is "lncRNA (ENSSSCG00000059737.1)". The record is from RNAcentral. Lineage: Eukaryota; Metazoa; Chordata; Mammalia; Artiodactyla; Suidae.